RNAcentral lists this ribosomal RNA (433 nucleotides) under uncultured bacterium. Its description in RNAcentral is "partial 16S ribosomal RNA". It matches the Rfam family "Bacterial small subunit ribosomal RNA", at positions 29 to 507 of the family's 1533-position model. The record is from RNAcentral.
AACGAACGCUGGCGGCAUGCCUAACACAUGCAAGUCGAACGAGACCUUCGGGUCUAGUGGCGCACGGGUGCGUAACGCGUGGGAACCUGCCCUUAGGUUCGGAAUAACUCCCCGAAAGGGGUGCUAAUACCGGAUAAUGUCUUCGGACCAAAGAUUUAUCGCCUUUGGAUGGGCCCGCGUUGGAUUAGCUAGUUGGUAGGGUAAAAGCCUACCAAGGCGACGAUCCAUAGCUGGUCUGAGAGGAUGAUCAGCCACACUGGGACUGAGACACGGCCCAGACUCCUACGGGAGGCAGCAGUGGGGAAUAUUGGACAAUGGGCGAAAGCCUGAUCAAGCAAUGCCGCGUGAGUGAUGAAGGCCUUAGGGUUGUAAAGCUCUUUUACCCGGGAUGAUAAUGACAGUACCGGGAGAAUAAGCGCCGGCUAACUCCGUG